CCUACGGGUGGCAGCAGUGGGGAAUAUUGCGCAAUGGGCGAAAGCCUGACGCAGCGACGCCGCGUGAGGGAUGAAGGUCUACGGAUCGUUAACCUCUGUCAGCAGGGAAGCACGGUCACUGUGCUAAUCAGCAGUGAAUUGACGGUACCUGCAAAGGAAGCACCGGCUAACUCCGUGCCAGCAGCCGCGGUAAUACGGAGGGUGCGAGCGUUAAUCGGAAUUACUGGGCGUAAAGCGCUCGUAGGCGGUAUGUCAAGUCAAGGGUGAAAUCCCCGCGCUCAACGUGGGAACUGCCUUUGAAACUGGCAAACUGGAGUGGGUGAGAGGAUAGUGGAAGUCCAGGUGUAGGAGUGAAAUCCGUAGAUAUCUGGAGGAACAUCAGUGGCGAAGGCGACUAUCUGGCACAUAACUGACGCUGAGGAGCGAAAGCGUGGGUAGCAAACAGGAUUAGAUACCCGAGUAGUC
This 465-nucleotide ribosomal RNA is filed under the name uncultured bacterium. Its description in RNAcentral is "partial 16S ribosomal RNA". It matches the Rfam family "Bacterial small subunit ribosomal RNA", at positions 338 to 795 of the family's 1533-position model. The record is from RNAcentral.